UUUGAGAAGAGCUUUAUUAACCAGACUUAACCUGGGAAGUAGAACAGAAAAUGAUUACUAGCUAACAAGCUUUCACCUUGGCUUUUCUUAGUGUUAAGCAGAAUAGUAUUCACCAGUUAUUAAUUCCAGGGAGGAAUCUAGACACUGUGCCCACUGCAUCUUGGUACUGGAGUUGCCAAGAAACACACCACAUGAUAAAACAGUUCAUUACUGUUCUUUUUGAAUUGUUCUUGGGGAAGUUACUUAACCUUUCUAGCACAGGCCUUUCUUCAGGGCCUGUGCCCUACCAAGCAUGGAAAUUAAAAAAAAAAAAAAAAAAAAAAAAUCUUGAGUUCCUUCAAGGGAAAUUCCAGGCACCUAGCUAGCCUUGAAAUUGAAAAGAAACAAUCUGAUAAGCAACAACAUAGUAGCAACAGUUUCUCAAGGUAUUUUGGUUUUCUACGAAAACUGAAAGAUCACAUCUUAAUAUAUGUUUUUGAGUUGUAUUUCAGAAACCCCCACUAGAUGGAAAAAGUUGACCCAAUGUAACAUUAGAAUAGAUAAGAGAGAAUUGAGGACUGAGCUCUGACUCUUCUUUCUUCUACAUUUCUUUCUGAGGGGCCAGGAGAAAGUAACACAAACCAAACCAAUGAAUAACCUCUACAUUUUAGUUUAUAAUUUUGUCUACAACUUCUGCUGUCUUGAAAUAUACUUUUGCCUUCAAAAACCAUUAUUGCUUGUAAGCCAAUGGGUGUAAAAAGAGAAUCAGGCACUGGAGAAGUGGCCCCACAGAAUAUGAAUUAAGGAAGGGAGAUAGUGAGGCAAGCCCUAAAAUUAGCCUAGGUCUGCCAGAGGCCUUUUACCUUAUUAUGUGGAUCUGGUUGAUGCAUAAGGUUAGUAACAGCUGUUCGUUUGUUGCGUGAUUCAACCUCCAGGCUUGACCUUCCCUUUAACAUAAAGUGGGGGGAUGUCAUGACUUUAUUUUCUGUCUGAGGAGAUUUUAUAUUUAUUUAUUUAUUUAUUUGUUUUUUUGAGACAGGGUCUUGCUAUGUCGCCUUUGGUAGAGCGUCACAGCUCACAGCACCACAAACUCUUGGGCUUAAGCGAUUCUCUUGCCUCAGCCUCCCCAGUAGCUUGGACUAUAGGCGCCUGCCACAAAGCCCAGCUAUUUCUGUUGUUACUGAUGUCGUUGUUUAGCAGGCCCAGGCUGAGUUCAAACCCACCAGCCCCGGCAUAUGUGGCCAGCAUCUCUAACUGCUGAGCUAUAUAGGUACCAACCCUCUGAGAUUUUAAACUUACUGAAUUUCUCAUAUUAGCUAAAAUAUUCUUAAAGAAUAUGGUCAAAGGAAUUGAUCCUGUUGCCCUAACCAGACAGCAUGAUUUUUUAUGAAGUUAUAAUGAUGGUACUGUGGUACCAGCAUAGAGAUAAAAGAAAUGACAGAGGAAAUAGAUAGUUCAGAAACACUCAUACUUUAAACACAGAGAAACCCAACAGAUAAAGACUGGUGGAGAUUGGUAAAGGAGAGUGGUGCUUGAGUGAGUGAUUAUCCACAGGGGGAGAUAUUAGACUCUUAUCUUACAUCUUGUACAUAGACACAAAUUUUUUAAUAAUUAAAACACUUAAAUGCAAAAGCAAAACUUAACAAUUACAAACAAGCAAAUUUUACAGUGGAGGGAAAUGAAUGGCAAACCUGAAAGAUUACUGACCUAGUGAGAGGUCAGGAAAAUGCAAGUUAAAACUCUGAGAUACCAUUUUUUUAUGCUAGACUGACAAAAAUACUGUCCAAGUAGAUACGCUCAAGACUAUAAGGCCAUUUUGGAAAGUAAUUUGGCAUUAUUUUGCAGUUAAAAACGACAAACCCUAUGACCUGAGAGGUCCACACCUAUGCAUAAAAUCUCUUGCAUAUGUGUAGCAGGGCAUACUCAAGAAUGUUUAUGGUGGUACUGUUUCUAUCAACAAAAAUUAAAAACCAAUGUCAACUGACAGGAAAAUGAAUACUUAAAAUUGUGGUACACUUACACAGAAUACUAGUUUACAGGAACUAAACCAUACACAUAAGCACAAGAAUAAAUUUUACACAAACUCAGAAAAACAAGUUGAAUAAAACAUUGCAUUAAAGUACUAUAUGUACAAAGCUUUAAAAGUACAAAGUGAAACAUUAUGUUCAGAUAAUAUUUAUUUGUGAUAAAAAAAAUAAAAGGUGGAGAACAGAAAGACAAGGAGAGAAAAUAGAAAGGAACAUACAUGAAUAUGUAAUUGACAACUUUUUUUUUUUUUUUUUUUUGUAGAGACAGAGUCUUACUUUAUGGCCUUUGGCAGAGGGCCGUGGCC
Long non-coding RNA from Nycticebus coucang (slow loris), 2311 nucleotides. RefSeq lists it as uncharacterized. Lineage: Eukaryota; Metazoa; Chordata; Mammalia; Primates; Lorisidae. The record is from RefSeq and is a predicted model, not a curated record. The transcript has 2 exons.